CCAGGGCAGCUCUGCUGUCUCCUCCCCUUUCCAGAUAAUUCAAGCAUCUCCCCCUGCGUCCGGAACACAGCCCCACGUGUUUCCAGGAAGGAGGGGGAGAGCAGUGCGGGCUCCAGGCAGUUGUCCGAGGCAGGAAGGGAAGCACAGCCUGAAGUCGCGGCCCUCUGUAAUGGCUUCGGGAAUAUUUCAGCUGCAACUGUCACUGUUGGCACCAGGCUCCAUCACCCUCAGAUGAAGGGCUCCUGGGCUACACUAAGAAAGAAAGAAAGAAAGAAAGAAAGAAAGAAAGAAAGAAAGAAAGAAAGAAAGAAAGAAAGAAAGAAAGAAAGAAAGAAGGAAGGAAGGAAGGAAGGAAGGAAGGAAGGAAGGAAGGAAGGAAGGAAGACAGACAAGAAAAGCCCUGGAACCCACUUUGGAAUCUGCAGAGAACUGUUACCUGUACCACACCUUUUGUCAUCUCAUCGACCCUGAAAAUUAAUCAGAUGCCCAGAACAUUUCGUGUCACAGAAGCCAUCUCAGAAACGACACCCACGCCCAGGAGAGACAGAGGACUGCUGGCAGGAACCCCUGAGGACACAGCCACUGGGAAGCUCAAUUUGCUCAUCUUCACGAAAAUCGCCGCUUGAUAAUUUUGCUCCCCUAAAUGAGUCACCAAUAGCAUACUUGGGAAAAACCACAUCAAAGAUCUCAGUAUAUUGUCUCUGUGAUUAUCUAAGGAGCUGACUACAGCUUCCACCGCAGCAGAGUGGAAAUUAGCUUAAAGUAAUGUUUCUUAAAGUGUAGCACUUAGACUAACUAUACCAGCGUCACCCAGAAACCUGAGAAAAUGCAGAUCCUUGGGCCUGAGUCCCUCCGCCCCAGACCUACAGAAUCAGAGACUAUGGGGGUGGGCCCAACAACCUGUGAUUCAACAAGUCUUCAAGGUAAUUCUGACGGAUGCUGAAGUUUGAGAACCACUGGCCUGGGAGAGGCAGCCAGGGCAGCCAUCUUUGCCUCCCCUGCCUGCCCCUCUUACUGCUCAGGAUCAUCACAGACAGUUGGUAUCAGUCCUUUAUCUCCAAGCGCAUUCAUCUCUGGAGACGCUGCAGAGCAUCAGUGGGUAGGGAAGUCUGGAGUCCAGUGAUGUAAAACUGACUUCACCCAUCUGGAUAAAUUGUGAGGAAAGGGGCCCUAAGUGGUGUUGUGGUUAAGAAUACAAACUCAGGGGUCACCUGGGUAGCUCAGUUGGUUAAGCAUCUAACUCUUGGUUUCAGCUCAGGUCAUGAUCUUACGGUUCAUGAGUUCGAGCCCUGCAUGGGGCUCUGCACUGGCAGCACAGAGCCUGCUUGGGAUCCUCUUGCUCCCUUCUCUCUGCCCCUCCCCUGCUCAUGCAUGCUGUCUCUCUCUCUCUCAAAAUCAAUAAACUUUUUAAAAAAAAUGUGAUAAAAUAAAAGAAGAAUACAACUUCAGGAAUCAGA
Molecule: long non-coding RNA, 1457 nt
Organism: Acinonyx jubatus (cheetah)
Lineage: Eukaryota; Metazoa; Chordata; Mammalia; Carnivora; Felidae
Exons: 2
Source: RefSeq, a predicted model, not a curated record